CCUACGGGGGGCAGCAGUGGGGGAUAUUGCACAAUGGGGGAAACCCUGAUGCAGCGACGCCGCGUGGGCGAAGAAGUAUUUCGGUAUGUAAAGCCCUAUCAGCAGGGAAGAAGAAAUGACGGUACCUGAGUAAGAAGCACCGGCUAAAUACGUGCCAGCAGCCGCGGUAAUACGUAUGGUGCAAGCGUUAUCCGGAUUUACUGGGUGUAAAGGGAGCGUAGACGGCGAUGCAAGUCUGAAGUGAAAGGCGGGGGCCCAACCCCUGGACUGCUUUGGAAACUGUAUGGCUGGAGUGCAGGAGAGGUAAGUGGAAUUCCUAGUGUAGCGGUGAAAUGCGUAGAUAUUAGGAGGAACACCAGUGGCGAAGGCGGCUUACUGGACUGUAACUGACGUUGAGGCUCGAAAGCGUGGGGAGCAAACAGGAUUAGAUACCCCGGUAGUC
Molecule: ribosomal RNA, 442 nt
Filed under: uncultured bacterium
Lineage: Bacteria
Description: partial 16S ribosomal RNA
Rfam family: Bacterial small subunit ribosomal RNA
Source: RNAcentral